This 253-nucleotide ribosomal RNA is filed under the name uncultured bacterium. RNAcentral's name for it is "partial 16S ribosomal RNA". It matches the Rfam family "Bacterial small subunit ribosomal RNA", at positions 524 to 776 of the family's 1533-position model. The record is from RNAcentral.
UACGGAGGGUGCAAACGUUGCUCGGAAUCAUUGGGCGUAAAGCGCACGUAGGCGGUCGGCUAUGUCGGAUGUGAAAGCCUCGGGCUUAACCCGAGAAGGGCAUCCGAAACUGGCCGGCUUGAGUACGGAAGAGGGUCUCGGAAUUCCCGGUGUAGAGGUGAAAUUCGUAGAUAUCGGGAGGAACACCGGUGGCGAAGGCGGCGACCUGGGUAGAUACUGACGCUGAGGUGCGAAAGCGUGGGGAGCAAACAGG